RNAcentral lists this transfer RNA (72 nucleotides) under Nevskia sp. RNAcentral describes it as "tRNA-Thr". It matches the Rfam family "tRNA". Rfam says of the family: Transfer RNA (tRNA) molecules are approximately 80 nucleotides in length. Lineage: Bacteria; Pseudomonadati; Pseudomonadota; Gammaproteobacteria; Nevskiales; Nevskiaceae. The record is from RNAcentral.
GCCGACGUAGCUCAGUGGUAGAGCAGCGGUUUCGUAAACCGCAGGUCAUGGGUUCGAGUCCCAUUGUCGGCU